UGACGUGUAGCUCAGUUGGUUAGAGCAAACGCCUUAUAAGCGUUAGGCCAAAGGUUCAAGUCCUUUCACGUCAA
This 74-nucleotide transfer RNA is filed under the name Patescibacteria group bacterium. RNAcentral describes it as "tRNA-Ile". It matches the Rfam family "tRNA". From Rfam's summary of the family: Transfer RNA (tRNA) molecules are approximately 80 nucleotides in length. The record is from RNAcentral.